Molecule: ribosomal RNA, 465 nt
Filed under: Vreelandella stevensii
Lineage: Bacteria; Pseudomonadati; Pseudomonadota; Gammaproteobacteria; Oceanospirillales; Halomonadaceae
Description: partial 16S ribosomal RNA
Rfam family: Bacterial small subunit ribosomal RNA
Source: RNAcentral
CCUACGGGUGGCUGCAGUGGGGAAUAGUGGACAAUGGGGGCAACCCUGAUCCAGCCAUGCCGCGUGUGUGAAGAAGGCCCUCGGGUUGUAAAGCACUUUCAGUGAGGAAGAACGCCUGGUGGUUAAUACCCAUCAGGAAAGACAUCACUCACAGAAGAAGCACCGGCUAACUCCGUGCCAGCAGCCGCGGUAAUACGGAGGGUGCGAGCGUUAAUCGGAAUUACUGGGCGUAAAGCGCGCGUAGGUGGCUUGAUAAGCCGGUUGUGAAAGCCCCGGGCUCAACCUGGGAACGGCAUCCGGAACUGUCAAGCUAGAGUGCAGGAGAGGAAGGUAGAAUUCCCGGUGUAGCGGUGAAAUGCGUAGAGAUCGGGAGGAAUACCAGUGGCGAAGGCGGCCUUCUGGACUGACACUGACACUGAGGUGCGAAAGCGUGGGUAGCAAACAGGAUUAGAUACCCUAGUAGUC